UCUUUGGUUCUUUUGGAUCCUAAGAAGGCUUCAAGUUGACUCCUCAGUUGGUCUACAGCUGCAUUCUUCUCUUCAAGUUGAUAUUUAGCUUCUGAAAGUUUUCAUCUGGACUCUCUCCUCACGCAACACAUCAGCGAACUGCAUCAUCUCCCUUUCCUUCUCAACCUCUGCACAAAGUUUUGCCGAUUCUCUCUUCAGUUCUUCAACUUCUGCUUUAUCUUCACCUAUAUCCCUGGCUAAUUCAUCACAUACUUGCUCCAUUAUAACUCUUGCUCUCUUCUCAUUCUCAAGCUCUUUCACUAGCUUCAACAGAGAAGACUUCGUCUCAGCUAGUUCUUUCCCAAGCUUCUUGUUCAAGCUUUCAAGCCGUCUCCUCAGUUUUUUCUCUACUUCAAGUUCUCCAGCAAGGGACUCAAUAGCAGCUUCAACCACUUUCUGCUCCUUGUUUUUCCAUGCUGCCUUUUCUUCAGCAAAGCACUUCAUUAAAUAG
RNAcentral lists this unclassified non-coding RNA (490 nucleotides) under Hevea brasiliensis (rubber tree). The record is from RNAcentral. Lineage: Eukaryota; Viridiplantae; Streptophyta; Magnoliopsida; Malpighiales; Euphorbiaceae.